This 503-nucleotide ribosomal RNA is filed under the name Salmonella enterica. Its description in RNAcentral is "bacterial SSU rRNA". It matches the Rfam family "Bacterial small subunit ribosomal RNA", at positions 269 to 764 of the family's 1533-position model. RNAcentral also lists the same sequence under 1 other name. Lineage: Bacteria; Pseudomonadati; Pseudomonadota; Gammaproteobacteria; Enterobacterales; Enterobacteriaceae. The record is from RNAcentral.
CAAGGCGACGAUCCCUAGCUGGUCUGAGAGGAUGACCAGCCACACUGGAACUGAGACACGGUCCAGACUCCUACGGGAGGCAGCAGUGGGGAAUAUUGCACAAUGGGCGCAAGCCUGAUGCAGCCAUGCCGCGUGUAUGAAGAAGGCCUUCGGGUUGUAAAGUACUUUCAGCGGGGAGGAAGGUGUUGUGGUUAAUAACCGCAGCAAUUGACGUUACCCGCAGAAGAAGCACCGGCUAACUCCGUGCCAGCAGCCGCGGUAAUACGGAGGGUGCAAGCGUUAAUCGGAAUUACUGGGCGUAAAGCGCACGCAGGCGGUCUGUCAAGUCGGAUGUGAAAUCCCCGGGCUCAACCUGGGAACUGCAUUCGAAACUGGCAGGCUUGAGUCUUGUAGAGGGGGGUAGAAUUCCAGGUGUAGCGGUGAAAUGCGUAGAGAUCUGGAGGAAUACCGGUGGCGAAGGCGGCCCCCUGGACAAAGACUGACGCUCAGGUGCGAAAGCGUGG